This 81-nucleotide ribosomal RNA is filed under the name Escherichia coli. Its description in RNAcentral is "partial 16S ribosomal RNA". It matches the Rfam family "Bacterial small subunit ribosomal RNA", at positions 1 to 79 of the family's 1533-position model. Lineage: Bacteria; Pseudomonadati; Pseudomonadota; Gammaproteobacteria; Enterobacterales; Enterobacteriaceae. The record is from RNAcentral.
UUAAAUUGAAGAGUUUGAUCAUGGCUCAGAUUGAACGCUGGCGGCAGGCCUAACACAUGCAAGUCGAACGGUAACAGGUGG